RNAcentral lists this ribosomal RNA (254 nucleotides) under uncultured bacterium. Its description in RNAcentral is "partial 16S ribosomal RNA". It matches the Rfam family "Bacterial small subunit ribosomal RNA", at positions 524 to 777 of the family's 1533-position model. The record is from RNAcentral.
UACGAAGGGGGCUAGCGUUGCUCGGAAUCACUGGGCGUAAAGCGCACGUAGGCGGGUCUUUAAGUCGGAGGUGAAAUCCUGGAGCUCAACUCCAGAACUGCCUUCGAUACUGAGGAUCUCGAGUCCGGGAGAGGUGAGUGGAACUGCGAGUGUAGAGGUGAAAUUCGUAGAUAUUCGCAAGAACACCCGUGGCGAAGGCGGCUCUCUGGAACGCAACUGACGCUGAGACGCGAAAGCGUGGGGAGCAAACAGGG